Molecule: long non-coding RNA, 250 nt
Organism: Bombina bombina (fire-bellied toad)
Lineage: Eukaryota; Metazoa; Chordata; Amphibia; Anura; Bombinatoridae
Exons: 3
Source: RefSeq, a predicted model, not a curated record
UUAAUAAUGUAACCCUUGCUUGUGUAAUUCGGUGCAAAAUUUCUCAUGUGUCCUCAUUUACAGAUUUGGAGAGGUGACGCACAUUUUAUGCAAGCUGUGGCAAUUGCAAUUUGCAGUGAAAAAAACUUAUCAAAAGGUCUCUAAAGAUAUCACCGACCAUAAAAUGAAAAAAUCAUUGGAGAUUGGCUUAACCAAGCACACACAAGAGUUGUUUGUUGUCCUAGGCCGGUGCCAAAUUUAACAUCAUAGC